Molecule: ribosomal RNA, 464 nt
Filed under: Vreelandella stevensii
Lineage: Bacteria; Pseudomonadati; Pseudomonadota; Gammaproteobacteria; Oceanospirillales; Halomonadaceae
Description: partial 16S ribosomal RNA
Rfam family: Bacterial small subunit ribosomal RNA
Source: RNAcentral
CCUACGGGUGGCAGCAGUGGGGAAUAUUGGACAAUGGGCGAAAGCCUGAUCCAGCCAUGCCGCGUGUGUGAAGAAGGCCUUCGGGUUGUAAAGCACUUUCAGUGGGGAAGAAAGCCUUGGGGCUAAUACCCUCGAGGAAGGACAUCACCCACAGAAGAAGCACCGGCUAACUCCGUGCCAGCAGCCGCGGUAAUACGGAGGGUGCGAGCGUUAAUCGGAAUUACUGGGCGUAAAGCGCGCGUAGGCGGUCUGAUAAGCCGGUUGUGAAAGCCCCGGGCUCAACCUGGGAACGGCAUCCGGAACUGUCAGGCUAGAGUGCAGGAGAGGAAGGUAGAAUUCCCGGUGUAGCGGUGAAAUGCGUAGAGAUCGGGAGGAAUACCAGUGGCGAAGGCGGCCUUCUGGACUGACACUGACGCUGAGGUGCGAAAGCGUGGGUAGCAAACAGGAUUAGAUACCCCUGUAGC